Long non-coding RNA from Cyprinus carpio (common carp), 1334 nucleotides. RefSeq lists it as uncharacterized. The record is from RefSeq and is a predicted model, not a curated record. Lineage: Eukaryota; Metazoa; Chordata; Actinopteri; Cypriniformes; Cyprinidae. The transcript has 3 exons.
CAGAAACAGAAACCGGGCUGAGUAUAUUGGGAUGUCUACCUAACCGUGAAAUGCUCUAUGGACAUGUGUAACAAAUUCUGAGUGAUUGAAAACAGGAAGACUCACCGGAAGUAUCGCCGAAGGAGGCCCUUUCGACAGGUCACGUGGCAGCAGGAGAAGUAUCCAGGAGCUGGAAAGAAGAGGGAAAAGAGACCUUGUGUUAGUAACGGUGUGAGUACCCUAAACCAUUGUACAGCAGCAUAAUCAUCUAGAGUGAACUAUCUGUGAGCCUUUUUGUGAGUUUGUGGCAUAAUAUGUGAGCGGCCCCACCGUGGAGGAGGAUUGUGGGUGAGCCAGGACCAGUGAGCGAGCCGGGACCAGUGAGCGAGAGAAGACGUUGGGGUGUCGUGGCGGCGACGUUUAAAUCUGAAUAUUCGUUGCAUCAGUGUCUCCACGAUUUCCAGGACGAGUCUUUGGUCAGACGGGGUUUUGACCCUAAAUUCACCAAGAGUGUGUGGAGUGCAGUGGGUGAGUCUUUGUCCUUUGCUGUGAGUGUAUACACUUGAAACUUUCAGUGUUGUGCUGUGUUUGUGUCGUCAACAACCACCUUUCAGGCCCGACGAAAUCCUGGAAGGAAGUGAGUACUGAGGCGGGCGAAGAAAACAUCUCCAAUUAUAUGCCGUCGAUGACAUCCUGACCCUUCUUCCCCACGUGACGGUGGUGGGAAACAAUUUAAAAUCUCUUGCCCUGUCAGUUGGAAGAAAGAAGAGGGAAGCGUUCGACCCAUUCAGUGUAGCACACCCCGGGUGAAACAACUUACCUGUGUGUGACACCAGCGGAGGCCGUGUUCGGCCCAACGCAGCAGCAGCUUUCGAUCCGCAUCUCUAUCAGCAGUUGGGAGAAGCCUCAGAAAAGGAACGCCUGACGUCUAUUUCCUCAAAGAUCUAGCGGGUCCCUUUGAAGCGUCUACCUGCACGUCGACCCGUCACUCAGGAUACAGAAACCGCGGAAACCCCCCCCCGUACACUUACCAGUACGGUUUCAGUUGGAUCCCGGCAGCCAUUGUGCAGCUCCACCAGCAUCUGGAUGACCAGGAGUCCAACCCGCUGGGCCGCCUCGGAGUUCGCCACGAGUAGCAGCAGGUAUCCAUCGUGCAUUCAAACUCUCAAUACUUACCACUUGUAUCUGUUACGUCCAGGAAAGGAGAGGGCCCUGGACAGUCGUCCUGCAAGCCAGAACACAGGGGCACUUGUGAAUAAGCUGAUUGUCGUCACAUAGCCAGAAGGAAAGAGGAGUGAAGAACUCACCUGAGAUCUCCCGCGACGGAGUCUAAGAGACUCGGACUCACCUGAGAU